GCCCAGACUCCUACGGGAGGCAGCAGUGGGGAAUAUUGCACAAUGGGCGCAAGCCUGAUGCAGCCAUGCCGCGUGUAUGAAGAAGGCCUUCGGGUUGUAAAGUACUUUCAGCGGGGAGGAAGGCGAUAAGGUUAAUAACCUUGUCGAUUGGCAUUACCCGAAGAAGAAGCACCGGCUAACUCCGUGCCAGCAGCCGCGGUAAUACGGAGGGUGCAAGCGUUAAUCGGAUUUACUGGGCGUAAAGCGCACGCAGGCGUUCUGUCAAGUCGGAUGUGAAAUCCCCGGGCUCAACCUGGGAACUGCAUUCGAAACUGGCAGGCUGGAGUCUUGGAGAGGGGGGUAGAAUUCCAGGUGUAGCGGUGAAAUGCGUAGAGAUCUGGAGGAAUACCGGUGGCGAAGGCGGCCCCCUGGCCAAAGACUGACGCUCAGGUGCGAAAGCGUGGGGAGCAAACAGGAUUAGAUACCCCCGUAG
RNAcentral lists this ribosomal RNA (472 nucleotides) under uncultured bacterium. RNAcentral describes it as "bacterial SSU rRNA". It matches the Rfam family "Bacterial small subunit ribosomal RNA", at positions 329 to 793 of the family's 1533-position model. The record is from RNAcentral.